UACGGGGGGGGCAAGCGUUGUUCGGAUUUACUGGGCGUAAAGGGCGCGUAGGCGGUCAGCACAAGUCAGUUGUGAAAUCUCCGGGCUUAACUCGGAAAGGUCAACUGAUACUGUGCGACUAGAGUGCGGAAGGGGCAACUGGAAUUCUCGGUGUAGCGGUGAAAUGCGUAGAUAUCAGGAGGAAUACCGGUGGCGAAAGCGACUCUCUGGACGGCAACUGACGCUGAGGCACGAAAGCGUGGGGAGCAAACAGG
Molecule: ribosomal RNA, 254 nt
Filed under: uncultured bacterium
Lineage: Bacteria
Description: partial 16S ribosomal RNA
Rfam family: Bacterial small subunit ribosomal RNA
Source: RNAcentral